This 324-nucleotide long non-coding RNA is filed under the name Homo sapiens (human). RNAcentral's name for it is "HSALNT0082359". The record is from RNAcentral. Lineage: Eukaryota; Metazoa; Chordata; Mammalia; Primates; Hominidae.
GCAUCCUAAUUUACAUUGAAAAUAUAUGGCCAGUGAAGAAACAGCCUGGAGAGAUCUACACUCACAUGGAUCUUGGGUCUUGCUCUGUCGUCCAGACCGAGUGCAGUGGCACAAUAAUGGCUCACUGCAGUCUCGACCUUCGGGCUCAAGCGGUCCAUCCUCCCACCUCACUUCCUGAGUCGCUACGAUUAAAAGUGCAUGCCACCACACCCAGCUAAGUUUUGUAUUUUUUCGUAGUGAUGGGGGUCUCACUAAGUUGCCCAGACUGAUCUCAAAUGCCUGGGCUCAAGCAGUCCUCUCUCAGUGCAGCCUCUGAAAGUGCGG